This 710-nucleotide long non-coding RNA is filed under the name Equus caballus (horse). RNAcentral's name for it is "lncRNA (ENSECAG00000044188.1)". Lineage: Eukaryota; Metazoa; Chordata; Mammalia; Perissodactyla; Equidae. The record is from RNAcentral.
UGAAUACCAUGGAUGGUGAUGAUGAGAGAUGCGUGCAUGUGGCGGCAGAUAGGAGAAUAGGCAAGCUGAUGGGAUCAAUGACAGGAAUGGAGAGAAGGGACCUGUCUACGGAUAUGAGAGUUGCCACUAGGAGGCAAAGAAAAGAAACUUGCUGAGGAUCAGAGCCGUGCCCGGCAUCAGUGGAGAGGGCAUGCUCAUCUCAGUCCAAAAUCACCGAUGGGAGACUGAACGCCUGUGUGGCUGCAUGCCCGCUCAGGGGCCCGGCUGCACACACAGGCCUUGCUCCGAUGAGUUCUGGAUCCGCUCUCCUGAGCUCGUGAGUGAUGCCAGAGCAAUAUCCAACAGAGGUUUGACCAAAAUCUUGGUGCAGUGGCCUAGCCAAACUGACACAUGAAGUCAACCAUCACAGAGGCCCAGCGAGAGUGCAACAUUGAGUAAAUUCCCAGGGCCGUGAAAAAUUGAGGGAAAAGUGAAACAUCAAAUCCCAAAAGAGAUCCUUUUCUUAAAGUGCUGAAAGUCAAUUCAACAAGUAUUUACUGAGCUUCUACCCCUGCCCUUGGGGACGCUGUGAUGCAAAAUCGAGAAUUUUCCCCAAAGGUAACGCUCAAUUCAUUUUGAUUUAAAACUGGCAGCUGAGAGAAUCCACUCAAGGUUGCAUUUGCUCUUUAUAUAUAAAUAUGUUUCUACAGUUUGAGUUUUUACCUAUACCA